CAUUCGGGAUCAACUUCGACGGCUCCCUCCACAAGGGUUGGGCCACCGGCUUCAGGUGUUACCGACUUUCAUGACUUGACGGGCGGUGUGUACAAGACCCGGGAACGUAUUCACCGCAGCGUUGCUGAUCUGCGAUUACUAGCGACUCCGACUUCAUGAGGUCGAGUUGCAGACCUCAAUCCGAACUGGGACCGGCUUUUUGGGAUUCGCUCCACCUCACGGUAUUGCAGCCCUUUGUACCGGCCAUUGUAGCAUGCGUGAAGCCCAAGACAUAAGGGGCAUGAUGAUUUGACGUCAUCCCCACCUUCCUCCGAGUUGACCCCGGCAGUAUCCCAUGAGUUCCCACCAUUACGUGCUGGCAACAUAGAACGAGGGUUGCGCUCGUUGCGGGACUUAACCCAACAUCUCACGACACGAGCUGACGACAACCAUGCACCACCUGUUCACCAGUGUCCAAAGAGUCCCGUAUUUCUACGGUGUUCUGGUGUAUGUCAAGCCUUGGUAAGGUUCUUCGCGUUGCAUCGAAUUAAUCCGCAUGCUCCGCCGCUUGUGCGGGUCCCCGUCAAUUCCUUUGAGUUUUAGCCUUGCGGCCGUACUCCCCAGGCGGGGAACUUAAUGCGUUAGCUGCGUCACGGAAUCCGUGGAAUGGACCCCACAACUAGUUCCCAACGUUUACGGGGUGGACUACCAGGGUAUCUAAGCCUGUUUGCUCCCCACCCUUUCGCUCCUCAGCGUCAGUUACGGCCCAGAGAUCUGCCUUCGCCAUCGGUGUUCCUCCUGAUAUCUGCGCAUUCCACCGCUACAACCAGGAAUUCCAAUCUCCCCUACCGCACUCUAAGUCUGCCCGUACCCACUGCAGACCCGAGUUGAGCCUCGGGAUUUCACAGCAGACGCGACAAACCGCCCUACGAGCUCUUUUACGCCCAAAUAAUUCCGGAUACGCUUGCGCCCUACCGUAUUACCGCGGCUGCUGGCACCGUAAUUAGCCGACAGCUUUUUUC
This 1001-nucleotide ribosomal RNA is filed under the name Microbacterium sp. Its description in RNAcentral is "partial 16S ribosomal RNA". Lineage: Bacteria; Bacillati; Actinomycetota; Actinomycetes; Micrococcales; Microbacteriaceae. The record is from RNAcentral.